Molecule: long non-coding RNA, 1539 nt
Filed under: Homo sapiens (human)
Lineage: Eukaryota; Metazoa; Chordata; Mammalia; Primates; Hominidae
Description: long intergenic non-protein coding RNA 882
Source: RNAcentral
GCGCAGGCUCGGCGUUGGCCUCCGCGGCCCGUGCGAGUGCGCCCUUCUCGGGUCCCCUAGGUCGCGGGGCAGCCGGGGCGGAAGGGGCUUGUUCAUUAUUUUGAGAGUUUGUUGUGAACGUCAUAACCUUUCGUCCUUAAAUAUUGCCGAUACUUGACCUACGCAAGAGACAAUGUCAUGUGAUUCAGCCUAAUAUCUCAGAGGAUGCAGCAUUCAAGGUUCUAUCUUGGAAGCAGAGACUGUGCCCUCACCAGAUGCUGAACCUGCUGAGCACCCUGAUCUUCCACUUCACCUUCAUCAGAACUUCUUUCUCAUCUUAGAAAAGAGCCCCCCAUCUGCCAGAGGAGUCAUCUCCAGGUUCUGCCUUUUUCAUCCACUCCCACAUUUACUCCAACACCAAUCCUGUCAACUCAGCUUCUGAAACACCAUUCCACCACCUCCAGCAUGGCCACCUAGCCACCAUUGUUUCUAGAUGAUUCUGUGACAACAGCCUUCUAUGUCUCUCCAUAUCCACUUUUGCUUCUACAAUCCAUUUUCCACAAUGCGGACAGAGAAGCUUCUUAAAAGUGUCUUUGAGGAAUUGUCACACUGUCUUCUGCAAUGGAUGAACUAAUUUACACUCUCAACAACAGUGUAUAAGCAUUCCUUUUGCUCUGCAACCUCACCAGACAUCUGGACGCGCAUGAAAUUUGGUGCCGUGACUCGGAUCGGCGGACCUCCCUUAGGAGAUCAAUCCCCUGUCCUCCUGCUCUUUGCUCCAUGAGAAAGAUCCACCUACGACCUAAGGUCCUCAGACCAACCAGCCCAAGAAACAUCUCACCAAUUUCAAAUCCGAAAUCCUUCAUCUAAUCUGGCAAACACAUGUGGCAGGUUUUUCUCACCGCAUAAAAUAUGUUAUAGAGUAGUCCAUCUAUUUCUCUUCCAUGGAAGAGUUCAUCUGGUAGAUUGGACUACCACUUUUCCUUGUGGAGACCUAUUCUGUUGGGUUAGAGAUGACAGAAAAUCUUAUUUGUCGGUUGGUUUGUUUGUUCAAGAAUACACUGACCUUCUACAAGAAAGGAGAGCUCUUUGACACCUGGAAAUUUUACAGAAGCUUGGGACAGCUCUGAAUGGCAACACGGUCCUGAGAUAUGUGAUUACCUGGGACUUUCAUUGGACCUGCAUUUCAGCUCUACUCUCCUCACUGCCCUAUGCUGCUUUGACCCUAAAAGUGAAGCCAGCUUGGCCAGGUGCAGUGACUCACACCUGUAAUCCCAGCACUUUGGGAGGCCGAGGUGGGCAAAUCAAGAAGUCAGGAAAUCGAGACCACCCUGGCCAACAUUGUGAAACACCAUCUCUACUAAAACACAAAAAAAUUAGCCAGGUGUGGUGGCACGCACCUGUAGUCCCAGCUACUCGGGAGGCUGAGGCAGGGGAAUCACUUGAACCCGUGAGGAGGAAAUUGCAGCGAGCCAAGAUCGCGCCACUGCACCCCAGCCUGGGCGACAGAGAGAGACUCCAUCUCAAAAACAAAACAAAACAAAACAAAAAAAACAAAAA